RNAcentral lists this long non-coding RNA (231 nucleotides) under Dermacentor andersoni. RNAcentral describes it as "uncharacterized LOC126523294". Lineage: Eukaryota; Metazoa; Arthropoda; Arachnida; Ixodida; Ixodidae. The record is from RNAcentral.
UCACUUCGCGGAGGGCCUCCUUAAAGCUCCUUUUUCAAAAGAAGAGGUUGAAGGGAGGUCCUUCUUUGGGCGGCUGUCAAAUGCCUUCCACAGAAGGAUUCGUUGGAUUCCAAGAAGGUCAACGCCAUACUAGACUACACAACGCAACAUUUCAGCGUACUUCCAGGGCAGCUGGAGAACUCGUCCUCAUUACUAGCCCGGGGAUAUUAAAUGGAUGUGUUCAAGCACAAA